Long non-coding RNA from Drosophila mojavensis, 2059 nucleotides. RefSeq lists it as uncharacterized. Lineage: Eukaryota; Metazoa; Arthropoda; Insecta; Diptera; Drosophilidae. The transcript has 2 exons. The record is from RefSeq and is a predicted model, not a curated record.
AUAUAAUAUUAUCGCCUAAAAGCAUGUAUGUAUAUAUACAAUGGAAAUGCUCGCUGCAGCUAUAGCCCCUGUUAAGCUCUGCACGAUCAUAAACAGGUAACAGGCCGCCAUAAUAAAUAUGGCCUUAAAUCCUUUGCAACAAGCCCAGGCGAGUGGCCAAUGUGAAUUCUGAAAGCGCUGACCAUAUAUCAUCAUAAAAAUAAACCAGACAUCGGAGCUAGAGGUAGGCGAAGCGGGGCAGACGCGUUCCAGCUAUAAAGCAUUAGUCAAAAAACAUUAAACAUGAAAAGGUGGGCAACAACUGUGCUUGGGUUUGGGUCCAGGUUCGUGCUGGUGUUGGUGUUGUUGUCGCUGCUCCCAGGACUACAAUCAACAUCAUUAACGCGUGCUUUAAAAGCCAUUUAUUUAGACGCAGACAUGAGAAGCCAUGUUCAUGGCAGUUGCUGUUCGAGUAUGGGAAAACUAUAAAUUUAACGCUUUUAGCAUAAUUGCAGGAGGAGCAUAAGCAGCAGCAGGAGAAGGAGUAGGAGGAACGACGGCAGCAGGAGGAGCAGCGUGUGCGUGCGGAACUUAGUGUGGAUAGCCAUCAACGCAUAAGCGUUAUGAUAAGUGGCUAGGCAAAAGGAUAUCAGCGUCAACACGCACUAAGUUAUUGCCCUAUUGGUACAUCCUAUCGUCCUGCCCAGCCAUCCAUCCAUCCAGGAUGGAGCUAUUAGCUGUAAGUGGAGCUAUCCGGCUCUGGCAUCAUAUUACUUGGCCAUCUAAUUGCCGGCCGCUUUUGACCUUCAUCAAAGCCAGGCUGCAACUUAAUAUGCCACAUGGAUGCGCAACCCUUCUCCUUUGGCUGGGCAAACACUUGACAGUCCGGCCAUAAGUUACAUAAGGAGGAGAGCUGCCUAUCGAUUUCUGGCCAACUUAAGCAGAGUCUUUCCUAACCAUAUUUAUCGCCUGUCUAAUGGAUACAAAUUGGGUCAGCUGGCUCAGAUUUUGUUCAAGUAGAGCUCUCAGAAUUGUUAUGCGUCUGCCUUUUUUAUGGCACAAUGCACAAUGCACGAACGCAAUGGGGCGUAUGCGUAAUUUAUGCCUUUCGGCCACGUUUUAAUUGCUGCAGCUAUUCGUGUAAAGGCCAUUUAUAGCCCAGAAAGUCAAGUCAAACAAACAAAAUUCCUUCAGGGCCAAAAACCAAUUUUACCUGUCAUCCAGGCAUGCACUAGCAAUGUUUUCUGCUAAAAUUAACUCAUUUACGUCAAUGAUUAUUUACAUUAAGGCACAUCAAAUUGAAAUACAUCUCGAACUUAUUGCAUUUACUUUAAGGACUUGUGGUGGAUUUCAAGAGGAUACUCAAGUGGAAGCUUUAAAUAAUCGCCAACUACUCGUUGCCAACUUUACUCUUAUCAAAAAAGAAAACAAUUGAAAAGUGUCAACUGCAGCAACAGCCACUACAGCAACAAUGAGAGGGCAACACAAACACAUGAAGUAUAAAAGAAAUCUGAUGCAGUGACAGGGCACAAACGGAACUCUUGUCUCUCGGAAUGUAAUUGUAAUUGAAAGUGAAAGUGAGCUAACAAAUUGGAUUAACUGAACGUGAGAGCUGCAAAAAGGACAUUCACAAAGCACAGAUCGGAGAUCAACUCAGAGUCCUCAAUUGAAAUGGAUGCCUUACUCAUAUCUUUCACUUUUAAAGCCAGCUAAAUGCACAGCAACAACAACAACAACAACAACAACGACAACGACAACAAUAGCAACAGCAGCAUUGGCAGUAUAGAAUCUUUCGCUUACCUUGGCGGCUAAACAAAGCUAGUCAUAAGGCUAACACGCACACGCACACAUACACAUACACAUACACACAACGCACUGACAACGUCUGUGUCACUUUUCUGGCCAAGCUGUGCAGAGCUCUGGCUCAAAAGUCAACAGCUAACAGCACUAGCAAUUAGUCGGAAUAGCGAGCGACACGACUAGGCAAUGCCCUAUAUAUUGAAUGACUCGUAUUUUGAAGUAUUUAAUACUUGAAAUAUGGAGUGGCGAUAGAGCUUGAAUAAAUAUUUUAUCAAAUUGA